RNAcentral lists this ribosomal RNA (492 nucleotides) under uncultured bacterium. RNAcentral describes it as "partial 16S ribosomal RNA". It matches the Rfam family "Bacterial small subunit ribosomal RNA", at positions 29 to 507 of the family's 1533-position model. The record is from RNAcentral.
AGUGAACGCUGGCGGUAGGCCUAACACAUGCAAGUCGAACGGCAGCACAGUAAGAGCUUGCUCUUACGGGUGGCGAGUGGCGGACGGGUGAGGAAUACAUCGGAAUCUACUUUUUCGUGGGGGAUAACGUAGGGAAACUUACGCUAAUACCGCAUACGACCUACGGGUGAAAGCAGGGGAUCUUCGGACCUUUCGCGAUUGAAUGAGCCGAUGUCGGAUUAGCUAGUUGGCGGGGUAAAGGCCCACCAAGGCGACGAUCCGUAGCUGGUCUGAGAGGAUGAUCAGCCACACUGGAACUGAGACACGGUCCAGACUCCUACGGGAGGCAGCAGUGGGGAAUAUUGGACAAUGGGCGCAAGCCUGAUCCAGCCAUGCCGCGUGGGUGAAGAAGGCCUUCGGGUUGUAAAGCCCUUUUGUUGGGAAAGAACAGCAGCAGGUUAAUACCCCGCUGUUCUGACGGUACCCAAAGAAUAAGCACCGGCUAACUUCGUG